UAUUCCCUUCUCAGUUCGAGUUUAUUUAUUAUAUACACAUGAUAUAAACUGCGUGUACAAAACAUUAGGAAAACCUGUUUAUUCCAUGACAUAGACUGACCAGGUGAAUCCAGGUGAAAGCUGUGAUCCCUUAUUGAUGUCACCUAGAGCUGUGUGGGUCAUGACAUAGACUGACCAGGUGAAUCCAGGUGAAAGCUAUGAUCCCUUAUUGAUGUCACCUAGAGCUGUGUGGGUCAUGACAUAGACUGACCAGGUGAAUCCAGGUGAAAGCUAUGAUCCCUUAUUGAUGUCACCUAGGUCUGUCUCGAUCAUGACAUAGACUGACCAGGUGAAUCCAGGUGAAAGCUGUGAUCCCUUAUUGAUAUCACCGAGGGCUGUGUGGGUCAUGACAUUCUGUCAGCCGGUGAUUGUCAUGCAGAUAACUGACAGUCUCAUGGUAAUUGACCCUUAAAGGUCCCCAAAGCCCACACAUAAUUGACCCUUUGUCUACACCAUCACAAUAACUCCAUGUAAUAUAUUCUACACCAUCACAAUAACUCCAUGUAAUAUAUUCUACACCAUCACAAUAACUCCAUGUAAUAUAUUAUACACCAUCACAAUAACUCCAUGUAAUAUAUUAUACACCAUCACAAUAACUCCAUGUAAUAUAUUCUCCACCAUCACAAUAACUCCAUGUAAUAUAGUCUACACCAUCACAAUAACUCCAUGUAAUAUAUUCUACACCAUCACAAUAACUCCAUGUAAUAUAUUCUACACCAUCACAAUAACUCCAUGUAAUAUAGUCUACACCAUCACAAUAACUCCAUGUAAUAUAUUCUACACCAUCACAAUAACUCCAUGUUGUCAUGUACUGUCAUGUUGUCUUGUCUCUGUCCUUUCCCUUCACCCUGUCUCCCUCUGCUGGUCGUGUCAGGUUACCUUUUCUCCCCUUCUUUCCCCCAGCUGUUCCCUGUCUCCUCCUAACUACCCAUUCACCCCGUUCCCCACCUGUUCCCUUUUUCCCUCUGAUUAGGUCCCUAUAUCUCUCUCUGUUUCUGCUCCUGUCCUUGUCGGAUUCUUGUUUGUUUGUGUUUCAUGCCUGAGCCAGACUAUCGUCAUGUUUGCUGUAACCUUGUCCUGUCCUGUCGGAAUCUGCCGGUCUAUCUGAGCCUACCUAUGUUUUGUUAUUAAAGAGGCUCUGUUUAAGUUAGUUCGCUUUUGGGUCCUCAUUCACUCACCAUA
This 1221-nucleotide long non-coding RNA is filed under the name Oncorhynchus mykiss (rainbow trout). RNAcentral describes it as "lncRNA (ENSOMYG00000071611.1)". Lineage: Eukaryota; Metazoa; Chordata; Actinopteri; Salmoniformes; Salmonidae. The record is from RNAcentral.